Molecule: ribosomal RNA, 659 nt
Filed under: uncultured bacterium
Lineage: Bacteria
Description: bacterial SSU rRNA
Rfam family: Bacterial small subunit ribosomal RNA
Source: RNAcentral
AGUGGCGGACGGGUGAGUAACGCGUGAGAAUCUGCCUCUAGGUUGGGGACAACAGUUGGAAACGACUGCUAAUACCCAAUGUGCCGUAAGGUGAAAGAUUUAUUGCCUGGAGAGGAGCUCGCGUCUGAUUAGCUAGUUGGUGAGGUAAAGGCUUACCAAGGCAUCGAUCAGUAGCUGGUCUGAGAGGAUGAGCAGCCACACUGGGACUGAGACACGGCCCAGACUCCUACGGGAGGCAGCAGUGGGGAAUUUUCCGCAAUGGGCGAAAGCCUGACGGAGCAAUACCGCGUGAGGGAGGAAGGCCUUUGGGUUGUAAACCUCUUUUCUCAGGGAAGAAGAUCUGACGGUACCUGAGGAAUAAGCAUCGGCUAACUCCGUGCCAGCAGCCGCGGUAAUACGGAGGAUGCAAGCGUUAUCCGGAAUCAUUGGGCGUAAAUCGUCCGCAGGUGGUUUUUCAAGUCUGCUGUUAAAGACUGGAGCUCAACUCCGGAAAGGCAGUGGAAACUGAGAAACUAGAGUUCGGUAGGGGUAGCGGGAAUUCCCAGUGUAGCGGUGAAAUGCGUAGAUAUUGGGAAGAACAUCGUGGCGAAGGCGCGCUACUGGACCGAAACUGACACUCAGGGACGAAAGCUAGGGUAGCGAAAGGGAUUAGAUACCCC